GACGAACGCUGGCGGCGUGCUUAACACAUGCAAGUCGAGCGGUAAGGCUCCUUCGGGAGUACACGAGCGGCGAACGGGUGAGUAACACGUGAGCAAUCUGCCCUUCACAUGGGAAUAACUUCGGGAAACCGAAGCUAAUACCGAAUACGACCACCGAUGGCAUCUUCUGGUGGUGGAAAGUUCCGGCGGUGAAGGAUGAGCUCGCGGCCUAUCAGCUUGUUGGUGAGGUAAUGGCCCACCAAGGCGACGACGGGUAGCCGGCCUGAGAGGGUGACCGGCCACACUGGGACUGAGACACGGCCCAGACUCCUACGGGAGGCGGCAGUGGGGAAUAUUGGACAAUGGGCGAAAGCCUGAUCCAGCAACGCCGCGUGAGGGAUGACGGCCU
RNAcentral lists this ribosomal RNA (388 nucleotides) under uncultured bacterium. Its description in RNAcentral is "bacterial SSU rRNA". It matches the Rfam family "Bacterial small subunit ribosomal RNA", at positions 28 to 417 of the family's 1533-position model. The record is from RNAcentral.